This 895-nucleotide small RNA is filed under the name Arthopyrenia salicis. RNAcentral describes it as "eukaryotic LSU rRNA". It matches the Rfam family "Eukaryotic large subunit ribosomal RNA", at positions 50 to 963 of the family's 3401-position model. The record is from RNAcentral. Lineage: Eukaryota; Fungi; Ascomycota; Dothideomycetes; Pleosporales; Arthopyreniaceae.
GCGGAGGAAAAGAAACCAACAGGGAUUGCCUCAGUAACGGCGAGUGAAGCGGCAACAGCUCAAAUUUGAAAUCUGGCCCUUUCAGGGUCCGAGUUGUAAUUUGCAGAGGGUGCUUUGGUGUCGGCCGUGGUCUAAGUUCCUUGGAACAGGACGUCACAGAGGGUGAGAAUCCCGUACGUGGCCGCCGGUCUUCACCGUGUAAAGCCCCUUCGACGAGUCGAGUUGUUUGGGAAUGCAGCUCUAAAUGGGAGAUACAUUUCUUCUAAAGCUAAAUAUUGGCCAGAGACCGAUAGCGCACAAGUAGAGUGAUCGAAAGAUGAAAAGCACUUUGGAAAGAGAGUCAAAAAGCACGUGAAAUUGUUGAAAGGGAAGCGCUUGCAGCCAGACGUGCCCGCAGUUGCUCACCUGGGCUCUCGCCCGGGGCAUUCUUCUGCGGGCAGGCCAGCAUCAGUUCGGGCGGUUGGAUAAAGGCCUCUAUCACGUAUCUUCCUUCGGGAUGACCUUAUAGGGGAGGCGCAACACGACCAGCCUGAACUGAGGACCGCGCAUCAGCUAGGAUGCUGGCGUAAUGGCUGUAAGCGGCCCGUCUUGAAACACGGACCAAGGAGUCUAACAUCUAUGCGAGUGUUUGGGUGUAAAGCCCGGGCGCGCAAUGAAAGUGAACGGAGGUGGGAACCCCUCGGGGUGCACCAUCGACCGAUCCUGAAGUCUUCGGAUGGAUUUGAGUAAGAGCAUAGCUGUUGGGACCCGAAAGAUGGUGAACUAUGCCUGAAUAGGGUGAAGCCAGGGGAAACCCUGGUGGAGGCUCGCAGCGGUUCUGACGUGCAAAUCGAUCGUCAAAUUUGGGCAUAGGGGCGAAAGACUAAUCGAACCAUCUAGUAGCUGGUUCCUGCGU